GAAAGCGCGAAACGUAAUGUGAAUUGCAGAAUUCAGUGAAUCAUCGAAUCUUUGAACGCAUCUUGCGCUCCUCGGCAUUCCGAGGAGCAUGCCUGUUUGAGUGUCGUGAAGUUAUCUCGGAGCCGCGCCUUCCGUUUCGGUGGGUGGCGGCUUUCGGAUCUGGACGUCUGCCGACGGCGAGGGUCUCGACCCCCGCGUAGGCUCGUCUUCAAACGCAUUAGCGGAACAGCCUCCGCCCCCUCGCGAGACGUGAUAAAACCCUUUGCGUCGGAAGAGGGGGGCGUUCGCCUUUCCGCUCAUCAGCCGUCUCCGUGACAAAGACCCGACCUCUGACCUCAAAUCAGGUAGGACUACCCGCUGAACUUAA
This 367-nucleotide unclassified non-coding RNA is filed under the name uncultured fungus. RNAcentral describes it as "sequence contains ITS1". The stretch from base 1 to 106 matches the Rfam family "5.8S ribosomal RNA", at positions 49 to 154 of the family's 154-position model. The record is from RNAcentral. Lineage: Eukaryota; Fungi.